GGUGGUGGGGGCGGGGGGGAAGAAAUAGUAAGUAAAGUAAUUCUGUCAUCUUAUUUUCUUUGCCACAGAAAUCUCAUGAAGGAAAAAAAUGCCUUAGAGUGAACAGGAUAGCUGCACAGAAAGAUUCAAUAAAUUUCACUAUAAUAAGUUUGUAAGUCAUAUUCUUAAAGCUAAAAUGACUAAGUGUUAUUGUUAUGGAAUUCAGAUGAUAAAAGCUGACUUUAUAGCAGAUUAUUCAUUAGGAAGACUCAUUUAGUUCCGGGCUCGCACUUUCUGUCAGGACUUUCUGUUUGCAAAGUAUUCCAGGAAGCCAAGUAAGCAGUCAGGCUGCGUGGAAUAAUUCCUGAAAAUUAACAGAAAUAAGGCAAGUGUUUCAUCUCUUUCCAGUAACAGCCUGGCAAGUUAAGUGAUGGUAAAAUGUCUGCAUUGUGUCUUGUGUUUCUCCAAAGCCAGAGUUUUUGUUUCGCAGUCAUUGAUCGACAAAACUUUCCUUUCAGAUGUGGAC
This 505-nucleotide long non-coding RNA is filed under the name Bos taurus (domestic cattle). RNAcentral's name for it is "long non-coding RNA NONBTAT014903". The record is from RNAcentral. Lineage: Eukaryota; Metazoa; Chordata; Mammalia; Artiodactyla; Bovidae.